GCCGGGCAUGGUGGUGCACACCUGUAAUCCCAGCAAUUUGGGAGGCUGAGGCAGGAGGAUCACGUGUUCAAAGCCAGCCUCAGUAACUUAGUGAAGCCCUAAGCAACUCAGUGAAACCCUGUCUCUA
Molecule: small RNA, 127 nt
Filed under: Marmota monax (woodchuck)
Lineage: Eukaryota; Metazoa; Chordata; Mammalia; Rodentia; Sciuridae
Source: RNAcentral